GAUGAACGCUGGCGGCGUGCCUAAUACAUGCAAGUCGAGCGAACGGACGAGAAGCUUGCUUCUCUGAUGUUAGCGGCGGACGGGUGAGUAACACGUGGAUAACCUACCUAUAAGACUGGGAUAACUUCGGGAAACCGGAGCUAAUACCGGAUAAUAUUUUGAACCGCAUGGUUCAAAAGUGAAAGACGGUCUUGCUGUCACUUAUAGAUGGAUCCGCGCUGCAUUAGCUAGUUGGUAAGGUAACGGCUUACCAAGGCAACGAUGCCUAGCCGACCUGAGAGGGUGAUCGGCCACAUUGGAACGGAGACACGGUCCAGAGUCCUACGGGAGGCAGCAGUAGGGAAUGUUCCGCAAUGGGCGAAAGCCUGACGGAGCAACGGCGCGUGAGUGAUGAAGGUCUUCGGAGCGGAAAACUCUGUUAUUAGGGAAGAACAUAUGUGUAAGUAACUGUGCACAUCUUGACGGUACCUAAUCAGAAAGCCACGGCUAACUACGUG
RNAcentral lists this ribosomal RNA (497 nucleotides) under uncultured bacterium. RNAcentral's name for it is "partial 16S ribosomal RNA". It matches the Rfam family "Bacterial small subunit ribosomal RNA", at positions 28 to 507 of the family's 1533-position model. The record is from RNAcentral.